RNAcentral lists this long non-coding RNA (1625 nucleotides) under Strigops habroptila (Kakapo). RNAcentral describes it as "lncRNA (ENSSHBG00005009042.1)". Lineage: Eukaryota; Metazoa; Chordata; Aves; Psittaciformes; Psittacidae. The record is from RNAcentral.
GAUUGCACAUGGGUUUAUUUUCCUCUCCAGGUGGAGCGGGAGAAGCGGGGCCGGGGUAGCUGCCGGGGCCGCCUCUCGCCCUCUCCCCGCCUGCCCCACGGCUUGGCUGCUGCGGGGUGGCUGGGCCGGGAGAGGGGGGGACCCCGGAGCUGUCGGAGCUGUCGAGGCCCGCGGGGGUGCGGCACCCGUCGGGCUCCUCCUGAGGUGCGAAGGGCUCCUGCCGCGCCGGGCCUGAGGCAGACGGAGCUCCUGAACCCGCAGCUGCGGGUUCGCUUAGGACAGCUCGGCCGGAGGUCUCCGACGUCCCCAGGUCUGGCUGUCCAGCUGUUGCCGCGGCAGCAGCGCGGAGCCCAGCCCGGCGGCACCAGCCCCCUCCCUUCACGGUACGGCUCUUUCCCAUCCCAGCUUGGGUUCCCCCAGCUCGGAAAGGUGCGAGUGGCCGGGUCGCCCUCCACGAGCUCCCCGGGGAGUCCCUUUGCCGUGGCAUCAGGGCCGCGAAAGAGGGGCCCGACGGCUCGCCCUCGGCACAGGAAAACCCCUUUCGGCUGCAGCCGGAGCGCCCGCAGCCGGUGCGCCCCGCGCAUCCCCGUCGGGGGGGAGCGCUCCCCGGGAUGCGGGGCCGCCGCAGCUCCGUGGAGCCGGGAGGAGGGGAAGGCGGAGGCCCGGCGGCUUGUGAGAAUUGUUAUUUUUCAUCAAUCACCCGCAAUUUGUGUAAGUGCCCCGGACAGGACACCAGCCGUCCUGCUGGCUGGGGUCACGGAGACAACACAGCAAUGGAGAAGAGCAAAUUGCAUUUGCUCACCAGCUCACAGAUCCAAAUUACGACCCUCGCAUGGCGCGGGGAAGGGAGCGAAAGGUCCAUGUGACAUGAGGGAAAUAUGAAGGACUUUGACAGGUCUUAAACGGCCUGGCGCCAAGGCCUAAGUCUACCGGCUAAAAAUAGAAAAGGGAUGAUGAGUGGAGAUGGGCAGAGAUGAAAGGGGAAGAGCGAGCGGGGCCGUGCUGCAGCGCAGGGGCAGCGGGGACCGGACGGUUCCCCCCAGCCCGGCCCGGACAGAUCCUCCGGGCCGCCCGUUUGCCAUCGUCCCAGCCUGGGGACGCACCAGCUCAGCGCCGGCCCGCGGGAGGCCGGGGCAGCUCCCGGGAGCCAGGCGCGGUAUCCCCGAGUCACGGAUGGGGUCAUGCCGGGUUUCGCCCGGCCGUGGGCACGAGCGGUCCGCCCCGUCCAUGGGCGCAGGAUGUUGGGUCGGGAUCGAGCCCUCGGCCCGGGGGCCGCGGCUAGAGCUGCCGGGGCAGUGGGUUCUCGGUCCCCGUUAGCCCUCCACCCCUGGCAGUCCCAUCAGCAGGCAUGCUAUAGAGGGUCGGGGAGACGAGGCUGCCUCUGGAUCGGGUUUAUUCUGCAGGCGAGGGCGUCUGCGACGGUACAGUGGUGCGGGGGAUCCCGGUCCCGGCCCGGGAGAGAGGACCCCUUUCCUCCCGGGUCCCGUCUCCCGGUCCCGGCCCGGGAGAGAGGACCCCUUUCCUCCCGGGUCCCGGCGGCCUCCAGGCCCGACGCGCAGGGCCCCGCGUCUCCCGGCGGAGCAGCGGACCAGGUGUCCGCGGAGGAGCCGUCCCCGUCGUGGGGC